Molecule: small nucleolar RNA, 134 nt
Organism: Ictalurus punctatus (channel catfish)
Lineage: Eukaryota; Metazoa; Chordata; Actinopteri; Siluriformes; Ictaluridae
Product: Small nucleolar RNA SNORA3/SNORA45 family
Source: Ensembl
AGUGAGACUAGAGUCACAUCCUGAUACUGACCGUUGUCCUGGUGUGCUAUAGCUCUCGCAGAUUAAUCGCUCUCUGCUAAUUCAUUGGCUGCUGCUUCUCCAUCGCUCAGCCAAUCACCCGCUCAGAGACACUC